UCCUUGAUGGCUCAGAUGGUAAAGCAUCUGCCUACAAUGCGGGAGACCCGGGUUUGAUCCCUGGAUUGGGAA
This 72-nucleotide transfer RNA is filed under the name Ovis aries (sheep). It matches the Rfam family "tRNA". Rfam says of the family: Transfer RNA (tRNA) molecules are approximately 80 nucleotides in length. Their secondary structure includes four short double-helical elements and three loops (D, anti-codon, and T loops). Further hydrogen bonds mediate the characteristic L-shaped molecular structure. tRNAs have two regions of fundamental functional importance: the anti-codon, which is responsible for specific mRNA codon recognition, and the 3' end, to which the tRNAs corresponding amino acid is attached (by aminoacyl-tRNA synthetases). tRNAs cope with the degeneracy of the genetic code in two manners: having more than one tRNA (with a specific anti-codon) for a particular amino acid; and 'wobble' base-pairing, i.e. permitting non-standard base-pairing at the 3rd anti-codon position. The record is from Rfam by way of RNAcentral. Lineage: Eukaryota; Metazoa; Chordata; Mammalia; Artiodactyla; Bovidae.